RNAcentral lists this ribosomal RNA (253 nucleotides) under uncultured bacterium. RNAcentral's name for it is "partial 16S ribosomal RNA". It matches the Rfam family "Bacterial small subunit ribosomal RNA", at positions 524 to 776 of the family's 1533-position model. The record is from RNAcentral.
UACAGAGGGUGCGAGCGUUGUCCGGAAUCACUGGGCGUAAAGGGCGCGUAGGCGGCUUGAUAAGCGUGCGGUGAAAGCCCGGAGCUCAACUCCGGGUCGGCCGUCGAUACUUCCGGGCUUGAGCACUGUAGAGGCAGAUGGAAUUCCGGGUGUAGCGGUGGAAUGCGUAGAGAUCCGGAAGAACACCGGUGGCGAAGGCGGUCUGCUGGGCAGUUGCUGACGCUGAUGCGCGACAGCGUGGGGAGCAAACAGG